Prosopis cineraria is the source of this 1147-nucleotide long non-coding RNA. RefSeq lists it as uncharacterized. The transcript has 2 exons. NCBI's taxonomy places the organism in Eukaryota, Viridiplantae, Streptophyta, Magnoliopsida, Fabales, Fabaceae. The record is from RefSeq and is a predicted model, not a curated record.
UCCUAAAAUCUGUCUGGUUAAUCUGAUAUAUUUUGCUUGUGUUUUGCUUCAGUUAAUGAUUGUUUGACUUUGUAUAUGUGAUUAGAGCUGUUAGUAUAUAAUUCUUUCUUUCUUUCUUUCUUGCAACUGGCCUCAUCAAUCAUGUCCAUUACUUUGGAAUGUAAAUUUGCUUAUAUUGGGGAAAAGGACUAGGUCUUUUGGGCUGGGCUGAUGGAAGGGCUAUCUGGAUUUUUCUUAUUUCAAACUGGCAUGUACCUCUUGUUUUUUUCUGUAUCUUCUGCAAGACCUGUUCUUUGGUUUCGUUUUCCUCAUCGUUUGUGGCUUCUGAGCUUUCCGUUGAGAACUCAAUCUGGAGGGAAAGAAUAUGAGAAGAAAGGAAAUGAGAGGAAUCGAGAUGUGGGAGUAGAAUAUAAAUUCAUUCUCUUAUGUUUGGAUGUCAAAUAAAUGAGGGGAUGAAAUUGUAGAGAAAAAUUUAAAAUUAAAUAUUUGUACAUGACUAAGUUCUCUGAGGAGGUACUUAAGGAGAACAUUUUUGUAAUUCAGAACGCCAUCACCAUUUAUUCUAACUUUUUCCUCCCUUGUUGGGGAAAAUGACAAUUAUGAAGUUUACAUGAACUGUUUUUCUCAUUUGCAUUCUUUUUCUUUUUCUUUUUCUUUUCCUAGGACAAGGUAGGAUAACUUCCGCUGCUAAUUUUCCUUUAACACAUUCCAAAUAAAGUUAGAAAAUUUGCUAAUGAUUCCAUUCUAUAUAUGUUUUUCUUGCCUUUGUUAUCAUGGACUAAAUAUGAAAAAUCUGCACAGAAAAUUGUUAUGGGAUGGUGAACUUUUGUUUGGUUUAUUGGUAGAACUGUUAUGAGUCAUUUGUUGCAUUAGUGGGAGAAUUGGGGCAGAGUUGAGACUGUUAAGGUAGUGAUGUGGCGUUCACGAUGAGAAAGUUACAGAAUUGAGCACCCCAGCUGCCAUGGGGCAGGGGGAUUACAAAAUUAGAUGUUUGACAUGACCUGAGUCAAUUACUGUUUCUAAUAACAAUAUCGUUGUUUUCCAGUGAUAUUAUGUUUUUGGUUUUCAAUAUAAAUUGGUCAUUUCAGCUCCAGAUAUCUUCUCCCAUGACUGUAAAGAUUCAUCUAUUAUGCUUUUUCUCUCGUUA